UACGUAGGGUGCGAGCGUUAAUCGGAAUUACUGGGCGUAAAGGGAGCGUAGGCGGACAGCUAAGUCAGAGGUGAAAGCCCAGGGCUCAACCCUGGAAUUGCCUUUGAUACUGGUUGUCUUGAGUAUGGGAGAGGUGUGUGGAACUCCGAGUGUAGAGGUGAAAUUCGUAGAUAUUCGGAAGAACACCAGUGGCGAAGGCGACACACUGGCCCAUUACUGACGCUGAGGCUUGAAAGCGUGGGGAGCAAACAGG
This 253-nucleotide ribosomal RNA is filed under the name uncultured bacterium. RNAcentral's name for it is "partial 16S ribosomal RNA". It matches the Rfam family "Bacterial small subunit ribosomal RNA", at positions 524 to 776 of the family's 1533-position model. The record is from RNAcentral.